GUAGGUGGCAAGCGUUGUCCGGAAUUAUUGGGCGUAAAGCGCGCGCAGGCGGGUCCUUUAAGUCUGAUGUGAAAGCCCACGGGCUCAACCGUGGAGGGUCAUUGGAAACUGGGGGACUUGAGUACAGAAGAGGAAAGCGGAAUUCCACGUGUAGCGGUGAAAUGCGUAGAGAUGUGGAGGAACACCAGUGGCGAAGGCGGCUUUCUGGUCUGUAACUGACGCUGAGGCGCGAAAGCGUGGGGAGCAAACAGGAUUAGAUACCCUGGUAGUCCACGCCGUAAACGAUGAGUGCUAAGUGUUAGGGGGUUUCCGCCCCUUAGUGCUGCAGCUAACGCAUUAAGCACUCCGCCUGGGGAGUACGGCCGCAAAGGCUG
This 374-nucleotide ribosomal RNA is filed under the name uncultured organism. RNAcentral describes it as "partial 16S ribosomal RNA". It matches the Rfam family "Bacterial small subunit ribosomal RNA", at positions 527 to 896 of the family's 1533-position model. The record is from RNAcentral.